UGGGGAAUUUUGGACAAUGGGCGAAAGCCUGAUCCAGCAAUGCCGCGUGUGUGAAGAAGGCCUUCGGGUUGUAAAGCACUUUUGUCCGGAAAGAAAUCCUUGGCUCUAAUACAGUCGGGGGAUGACGGUACCGGAAGAAUAAGCACCGGCUAACUACGUGCCAGCAGCCGCGGUAAUACGUAGGGUGCAAGCGUUAAUCGGAAUUACUGGGCGUAAAGCGUGCGCAGGCGGUUUGCUAAGACCGAUGUGAAAUCCCCGGGCUCAACCUGGGAACUGCAUUGGUGACUGGCAGGCUAGAGUAUGGCAGAGGGGGGUAGAAUUCCACGUGUAGCAGUGAAAUGCGUAGAGAUGUGGAGGAAUACCGAUGGCGAAGGCAGCCCCCCUGGGGCCAAUACUGACGCUCAUGCACGAAAGCGUGGGGAGCAAACAGGAUUAGAUACCCUGGUAGUCCACGCCCUAAACGAUGUCAACUAGUUGUUGGGGAUUCAUUUCCUUAGUAACGUAGCUAACGCGUGAAGUUGACCGCCUGGGGAGUACGGUCGCAAGAUUAAAACUCAAUGAAUUGACGGGGUCAUAGCUGUUU
RNAcentral lists this ribosomal RNA (583 nucleotides) under uncultured bacterium. RNAcentral describes it as "partial 16S ribosomal RNA". It matches the Rfam family "Bacterial small subunit ribosomal RNA", at positions 355 to 935 of the family's 1533-position model. The record is from RNAcentral.